RNAcentral lists this ribosomal RNA (677 nucleotides) under uncultured bacterium. Its description in RNAcentral is "bacterial SSU rRNA". It matches the Rfam family "Bacterial small subunit ribosomal RNA", at positions 102 to 797 of the family's 1533-position model. The record is from RNAcentral.
ACGGGUGAGUAACGCGUGGGUAACCUGCCUCACACAGGGGGAUAACAGUUGGAAACGACUGCUAAUACCGCAUAAGACCACAGCACCGCAUGGUGCAGGGGUAAAAGAUUUAUCGGUGUGAGAUGGACCUGCGUCUGAUUAGAUAGUUGGUGGGGUAGAAGCCUACCAAGUCAGCGAUCAGUAGCCGACCUGAGAGGGUGAUCGGCCACAUUGGGACUGAGACACGGCCCAAACUCCUACGGGAGGCAGCAGUGGGGAAUAUUGGACAAUGGGGGAAACCCUGAUCCAGCAACGCCGCGUGAGUGAAGAAGUAUUUCGGUAUGUAAAGCUCUAUCAGCAGGGAAGAAAAUGACGGUACCUGACUAAGAAGCCCCGGCUAACUACGUGCCAGCAGCCGCGGUAAUACGUAGGGGGCAAGCGUUAUCCGGAUUUACUGGGUGUAAAGGGAGCGUAGACGGCAUAGCAAGUCUGAAGUGAAAGCCCGGGGCUCAACCCCGGAACUGCUUUGGAAACUGUUGAGCUAGAGUGUCGGAGAGGUAAGUGGAAUUCCCAGUGUAGCGGUGAAAUGCGUAGAUAUUGGGAGGAACACCGGUGGCGAACGCGGCUUACUGGACGAUAACUGACGUUGAGGCUCGAAAGCGUGGGGAGCAAACAGGAUUAGAUACCCUGGUAGUCCA